UACGUAGGGUGCUAGCGUUGUUCGGAAUCAUUGGGCGUAAAGCGCGCGUAGGUGGCCCCAUAAGUCCGCUGUGAAAGUCAAAGGCUCAACCUUUGAAAGCCGGUGGAUACUGUGGGACUAGAGUACGGAAGAGGCGAGUGGAAUUCCUGGUGUAGCGGUGGAAUGCGCAGAUAUCAGGAGGAACACCAAUAGCGAAGGCAGCUCGCUGGGACGUUACUGACACUGAGGCGCGAAAGCGUGGGGAGCGAACAGG
Molecule: ribosomal RNA, 253 nt
Filed under: uncultured bacterium
Lineage: Bacteria
Description: partial 16S ribosomal RNA
Rfam family: Bacterial small subunit ribosomal RNA
Source: RNAcentral